UGGUUUCGAAGAGGAAAAGAACUUUAACGUGGUUUUAAAUUCGGUCAUUGCUGGGCGGUACCAUGUCACUGAGUACCUUGGAUCAGCAGCCUUCAGUAAAGCCAUACAAGCGCAUGACUUACAGACAGGAAUGGAUGUCUGUAUAAAGAUUAUAAAGAACAACAAAGACUUCUUUGACCAGAGUCUUGACGAGAUAAAACUUUUGAAGUAUGUCAACAAGCAUGAUCCUGCUGACAAAUACCAUCUUCUACGGUUGUAUGAUUACUUUUACUACCGGGUAAGUGAUUACAUCCCUUUUGCAAAAUUUGGUUUUGCUACUGUAUAUCAAAAGUGACCAAUUGUGUCUUUCUCUUCAACAAUUUUAGCACAAGUGUGAACCAUAUGCCUUUUAUUUAAUACCUUUGCAAUAUUUCUCUUUGUGGAUUGUUUGGUGUAACGGAUUCCCUGAAUGUUCUUUGCAGGAGCACUUGCUAAUUGUAUGUGAACUUCUUAAGGCCAAUCUAUACGAGUUCCACAAAUUUAACAGAGAAUCAGGUGGUGAAGUUUAUUUCACGAUGCCAAGGUUGCAGGUUUGUCCACUUUAUCAUUACCAUACAUCAUAGAUAUGUAUAUGUAUCCGAUUCCUGAUCUCUUUGGGACCGUUCUGUACAGUCAAUCACUAUCCAGUGUCUCGAAUCACUUCAGUUUCUACAUGGCCUUGGACUUAUACACUGUGAUUUGAAGCCUGAGAAUAUAUUGGUGAAAAGCUAUAGCAGAUGUGAAAUAAAAGUCAUUGACCUUGGAAGUAGCUGUUUCGAGACAGACCACCUAUGCUCCUAUGUCCAGUCAAGGUCAUAUCGAGCACCAGAAGUCAUUUUGGGACUUCCUUAUGAUAAAAAGAUAGAUGUGUGGUCUCUUGGGUGCAUUUUAGCUGAACUAUGUACAGGCAACGUAAGUCCUGCAUUUCCAUUGACUUGGUGCAUUUCUGAUUUUUGCUUCAUCAUGUAUUAUUUUUUCUCAUGCAAAAUACGUUUCGAAGAGAUAGAAAAUUUCCAUAUCCGCAUAAAUUUGUUUUCUUACAUGGGAACUUGAUUCUCGGGCUAUUAAGUAAACAGAAAUUUACCAGAAACUUGUGUCAUUUAUACUAACACUUGAUGGAGUUAAAGGUAACUGCAUCAUUGAUGUUCUGGAGUGUCAGCUGGUUAUUCAUAUUGUCUGGGUUGGUUGUUGAUUUUUGAGGACAAGAAGGUGAAUCCGUGUUUAAAUAUCGAGUUACUUUUGCAGGUUCUCUUCCAGAAUGAUUCGCCGGCCAGUUUGCUAGCAAGGGUUAUGGGAAUCGUAGGAUCUUUCGAUAAUGAAAUGCUUACCAAGGGACGUGAUUCCCACAAAUACUUCACAAAAAACCGAAUGCUCUAUGAGCGGAACCAGGUUAGUGUUUCCAGAGACCUUAAAGGAACAUUCCCUGAACUCCAAAAACUCUGCAACUCUUAAGUUGAAUGGAAGAAACAUAUGCUAAUAAAGAACAUUCUCUCUGGAAAAAUUGUUUGUUCAGGAAAGCAACAGAUUGGAGUACCUGAUACCAAAAAGAACAUCGUUGAGACAUCGGCUGCCAAUGGGAGACCAAGGAUUCACAGACUUUGUGGCUCAUCUUCUUGAGAUAAACCCAAAGAAGCGUCCUUCUGCAGCAGAGGCUCUGAAGCACCCUUGGCUUUCAUACCCAUACGAGCCAAUCUCUGCUUAAACAACUGGUGUCUUUACUUAAGCUACUAAAAGCCGCAAAACCUCAGAUUAAUGGAAACCUCAUAUGUGCAAAGGUUCAAGCCCCUUUGGUGGGUGACCCUUAAUACAAGUUGUGGCUGUCUCCUUCAGUCAAAAUGUGAGCUGAAAAGAAGAAAACUUUUGUGAAAUUUGAUUAGAGUGUAACACUGUGUUGUCAAACUUGUGAUUAUUAUCCUCCUAGAACAGACUAAGUAGUAGAACUCUUUUUUGUAUCAUCUGCUGAUCCUUAGUAGUUUAGUCAUUUGAUUAUGAUUUAUAAAUGUCAUUUAUGUAAUUUAUAUAUAUACAGGGUACUGAUCAUUUUAGGUGUCAUAUAUAGAAGUAAAUUUCAGAGAGUGCUGUGCGGGAGAAUCUCCUUUGGUGGUCAUUGUAAGGUGGUGAAUGGUAUUAUCAAUGGGACAUAAAAAAAAAUUGGUUCUCGGGUUCUUAGUGUUGUAGGUUCGAGAGAGUCCAUUGUUCUCUUUUGUGGUUUAUCUUUGUCUCUGUUCUGUUUCUAACAUCUCCCAAUUCAGUACCAAUAAUUAGUGGAACAAAAAAAAAAUACUUUUAUAGUCCACACUCUAAAACAUGACUAAAGAGAUUCGGAAGCGACUUUAGGUCACAAACUUUUGGAAGGAUUACAAUAUUUUUGAAUUGAUUGAUAGUUUUAAAUGUAUAACAAAUGAAAAUUUGCGGAAUAAAAAUUUAUAAGGAAAAAAUUGCAUUAUGAAAUAACGAAUUACCUUUUUUAUAUUGAAAAUAACUAUCUUUGGAUUGUAAACAAAAUUUCGUGUAAAAUUUUCUAAAGAAAGCAAUUGGAAUCAUAAUAAUCUAUGAAAUUUAGCAAUAUGGUAUCAUUUUAAAAAAUUCAGUACAAGACAAUUUUGUAAUAUUGGAAGAAAGAACCCUAAUUUUAAAUUUAGGAAUUUUUUUAAGUUUACCAGUGAAUGUCCGAAAUGAUUACAUCCAUUGAAACCUCAACGUGCGUGUCUUCUCCUUGCUUCUUCUUCCUCGUUUGAUCUGUAAACGCAUUUCCUCCUUCGCCGUGCCUGAAGAAGUUUCAUCUCUCGUUGGAUCCACUCUUGUUCCUCCUUGUCUUCUUAAAUUUUUAUUUUUAUUUUUCUGGUUCUCCGGAUCUCCAGACUCUUCGAUGGCGCGUUUGGAGCAUGAUUUCUAAGGAUUUUUAGGGUUUUUAUGCUCUUAUUGAAGUUCGCAUCUGCUGCAUCGUUCCGUAUGAGCAAACGUGAGUCUGGUUUGCCGGAAAAAACUUGUUUCUGAAAUGUGACUGAAAGUAUUGGUUUUGGGCAGAUUUUGAUUCUUCUAAUGUCUUUUGGUAGAAAGAUUCUUCAAAUUGUUUUCGUUAGAGGGUUCUGGGUAUCAGACAACAUCUGAACAGAGAAAAGUUUUCAUCUUUGUUGGGUACAGGAUUGGUGGAGUUUUAUUGCCAGUGCUUCUCCUGUAUAUUGUAAAUGACGGACCAGAGCUCUGUUGAUGGGAUUUUAGAGUUUCUUAGGAAUAAUCGCUUCUCUCAAGCUGAGGAAGCUUUGCGUAAUGAGCUUAAUAACCGGUCUGACAUUAAUGGCUUUCUUCAGAAACUUAAGCUGGAGGAUAAAGAUUCAAAUGAAAAGGCUGCUGGUAAUGAACUUCGGAGGUCAGGUUCUCGAGAUAGUGAAGUCUCCAAGGAGCUGAUUGUGAAAGAGGUAGACUGUGGGACUAGCACCAAUGGGUCUGUUAUCAAGUGGGAAAAUGGUGCGACGGCGGACAAUCCGAGCAAGAAGGAACCAGUUGUAUCAAGUGAGAUGAGCUUUACAUUCUCCAAGAAUUCAGGUGAUGCUGCUGCUCCUCCUGAUGCCCAUUCCUAUAAAUUUACUUCCAGAAAUGGCACCGUGGAGCCUUCUCGAAACAUUGAUGAUAGUAGUAGUAGCAGCUUGGUGGAUUUAUAUGCAUUCGAACAGUCGAGGCAUGGGAAUUUCGCUGAUAUCGAUAAGAAGAUAGUGGAAACUGGUGAAGAUAUCGUUUUCUUUGGCAAUAAGAGUACUUCAUGGUCUGGAAAUUCUAGUAAAGGGAACUCCGGGUCGAAAAUAAAGGAACCAAAUGAGAUUCAUCGGCUUGUUGAAAACUCUGGAAAGCAUGACAGCUAUAAGGGUAGCAUUCUUUUAAGAUCUGAAGAUGUCGUAGAUACCUCAGCGAACUGGAGAGAGUGUUCUGUUAAGACUCUUUUUCAAUCUUCGAGAGGGGAUGCGUCAAACAGUUACAAUCUGGUUAGCAGCUCGGACAAGAGAGAGGGAAAGAAGAAGGCAGACAUUAGUGAUGUGAGGGUGGCAAUCAAGGAGCAGGAGAGUGAGGUGGCAAGAGCUUUAUUCUUUGGUAAAUCUCAAUCCACUUUUGAUGACAAAAAUAUCAGCAGCUUAGGUUUUCCACUUGUAUAUGAUACCCGCAAGGAAGAGUUUCCUAGGCUUCCUCCUGUUAAGCUCAAGUCUGAAGACAAUCCUCUGAGUCUUCACUGUGAAGAAAAAUUUGAACGUGAUGGUUCAGGUCCAAGGCUAAUCAAUGAUGAGGACGCCCUUCUCAUAGGCUCAUACCUUGAUGUUCCCAUUGGACAAGAAAUUAGCUCAUCAGGUUAGAUUGCAUGACAAUGUAGCCGUACAACUGCAAAGUUUCCAUUGUGACUGCUGAAUGACAGUGCAUGCAUUUUUCUCAUAUCCUUCAUUCCUAUAGGAACUACUGUGGUUAUCAUAUUUCUACUCUGCGAAUCUGCUGAAGUAACAUGUUUGAAUUUUGAUGAACUCAUGAAUUAGAACAAUGCAUUGGCAAAUUACCAGCAUCAGUUCCAAAGAAAGCAAGUAAUUGUUUAGCUUUUUGCAUUUAUCUGCAAAUGUUUGCUCUCAUUGUCUUCCUUUCCCACUCUGUUUUUUUUUUUUGAUUUCUAUAAGGACCAUGUCGCUUCACUUUCUACUUUUUUUUUAGUUCAACUUGAACCUUACCAGUUUUACUUCAGGUGUGAAAGUAAGUUUUAAUCUCCUAAUUAUUUCAUAUAGGUGGGAAAAAAUCUACUGGGGGAAACUGGCUUUCAGUAAGUCAGGGAAUAGCAGAGGACGCAUCUGAUCUUGUUUCGGGUUUUGCUACUAUUGGUGAUGGUUUAAGUGAAUCUGUUGACUAUCGUAAUGAAUACUGGGACUCUGAUGAGUAUGAGGAUGAUGACGACAUUGGUUAUGUCAGACAACCUAUUGAAGAUGAACCAUGGUUUCUUGCCCAUGAAAUUGAUUAUCCAAGUGAUCAUGAGAAAGGAACGACCCGUGGAAGUCCUGAUCACCAUGAAAGAGAUGCAAACAAAGACGCAGAUGAUCAGUCUUAUGCCGAGGAGGCUUCUUAUAUAUCUGGAGAACAGUAUCUCCAAUCAAAAGAUGCUGAACCUAUUUCUUCAGAAAAUGACCGAAGACUUACAGUCUCAGAAAUUUAUCCAGCUAGCAAGAAAAAUGAUUUAUUAGCCCAAUAUGAUGGGCAUUUAAUGGAUGAGGAAUUGCUCAGUUCGAUGCGUGAUGAGCCUGUUUGGCAGGGGUUUGUAGCUCAGUCAAAUGAACUUCUCAUGUUAGGUGAUAAGAAAGGCAUAAAUGUCCAUCGAAAAUCUCAUCGUGAUGAUGUUUACGUCGAAGAUGAUCAGCAUGAUUCGGUCAGGUCAAUUGGCGUGGGUAUUAAUAGUGAUGCAGCUGAUUUUGGCAGUGAAGUACGUGACAGUUUGGCUGGAGGUAGCAGUGAGGGAGAUUUUGAGUACUCCCGUGAUCAUGAUCCUGUAGCAUCCAGGUUUAAACAACUUUACUCCGAGUCAGAUAAGAAACAUAUUGAUGCCCCAAACAAGAAUAAACAACAAGCAAGUAAAAAUGAUGGUCCAGAUUACAUUGCAGAUAAUGAUUCAAGCGGAAGUUUUCAUGUGAAGAUUCAAACUGAUGGUGGUUUUUCGUUUGGUUCGUCCCAAAAAGAUGGGCAGUCAAUGCAUGCGGAAUCUAGUAAAUCAUUAUGGUCAGGCAAUCACGAAACGGUAACCAGAGAUAGGAACACCGAACGUUUGAGUGCUUCAACAGCUAUGGAUGAUAUGGUUGCAACUUGGAGACGAAAAAGUAGUGAUUCAUCAAGUUCUCAUAGUUCUGUGAAAGAUAAUAAUGCAACGUCCAUAAAAUCUCUAAACUCAUCUCCCUCUUCUCUGUCAAAUUAUGCUUGUGAAGAAAGAAAGCAUGCUGAUAAAGAAGAUGAUAGAAAUGAUAGUAGUGAAAUAGAGGAUGACAAUGCGACAGCACUUGAUGAUGAAGAGGCAGUGGCUGUCCAAGAGCAAGUUAGACAAAUUAAGGCCCAAGAGGAGGAGUUUGAAACCUUUGACCUCAAAAUUGUGCAUCGAAAAAACAGGUAAGAUUUCUCCCCAACUUUUAUGGUUUAAACUAAAACAGAUAGAAAGUAAGUAAGAAGUUACCUUGUUUAAAAGAGCAUCUGUCUCUGAGUCUCUACUUGUUGCGCUCAGCCCAGAAACAUCAUGUUAAGUAAAACUGUAAUUAGCAUAACUAAUUGAACUAACUAUAUUGCUUCAGUUGAUUUUAACCAUUUUACUUUUGAAAAGUUAUCCCCAAGAUUGAAGUAGUCAAAAUAUUUCGACAUAGCUGAGUGCUGCUCUCUUAUUACUUGUUUGGCAUUUAUCAGGACUGGUUUCGAAGAGGAAAAGAACUUUAACGUGGUUUUAAAUUCGGUCAUUGCUGGGCGGUACCAUGUCACUGAGUACCUUGGAUCAGCAGCCUUCAGUAAAGCCAUACAAGCGCAUGACUUACAGACAGGAAUGGAUGUCUGUAUAAAGAUCAUAAAGAACAACAAAGACUUUUUUGACCAGAGUCUUGACGAGAUAAAACUUUUGAAGUAUGUCAACAAGCAUGAUCCUGCUGACAAAUAC
This 6667-nucleotide long non-coding RNA is filed under the name Arabidopsis thaliana (thale cress). Its description in RNAcentral is "long non-coding RNA (ATHA_LNC000636)". The record is from RNAcentral. Lineage: Eukaryota; Viridiplantae; Streptophyta; Magnoliopsida; Brassicales; Brassicaceae.